This 70-nucleotide transfer RNA is filed under the name Camelus bactrianus (Bactrian camel). It matches the Rfam family "tRNA". Rfam says of the family: Transfer RNA (tRNA) molecules are approximately 80 nucleotides in length. RNAcentral also lists the same sequence under 3 other names. The record is from Rfam by way of RNAcentral. Lineage: Eukaryota; Metazoa; Chordata; Mammalia; Artiodactyla; Camelidae.
GAGAGUAUAGCUCAGUGGUACAGCAUGCUUAGCAUGCAUGAGGUCCUGGGUUCAAUCCCCAGUGCUUCCA